GCGCGUAUUUACCGGCGAAAACUACCGGCGGCGAUUUUGCCGUCGGUAGAUAACGGCGGCAAGGCGGCGGCAUUGCAGGCGACCCGAAAUUUCGAAAUUACCGGCCAGUUACCGACGGCAAACUCGCCGCCGGUAUGUAACGGCGGCGUCGCCGUCGUUAAUGUUAAAAUACGCAUUAUUUAAUUAAAUUUAUAGACUUAGCGGCGGCAAAAUCCCCGCCGCUAUAUAGCGGCGGCAUUUGCCGUCGGUAACCUUUAAAAUAUAGGGCAGCGGGUUUGCCCAUUUUUUCAGUAUCUGCGCCGCAACCAACCCCCCCACGCGAACAGAAACUACCCCCCCAGCCCCUCCCCUGCUGCUGCUGCUCUUCCUUCGCCGCCGCCUCCGCCGCCGCCGACCGCCGCCGACCGCCGCCGACCCAGCAGUUCGACGACCUCGUUUCACCGCCUUCUUCACGACACCCACCGGAAACCACCACCAAUUUGCAAGAAUGAGUGAUAAUCGUACGUGGAUGUACGCGAGAUACAAUGAUCGUACCGCAUUUGAAACGGGGCUUGAGUUUUUCCUUGAGUGGGCGUUCAAUCAAACGGCGUACACAGAUGGACAAGGUAACAUUAGGUGCCCGUGUAAGAAGUGCAAGAAUCAAGCGUAUUUAGAUGUACCUACGGUCAGAGAACAUGUUAGUAGGCGUGGAUUUGUCCUGAAUUACAAAGUUUGGGUUUGUCACGGGGAAGCACCGCUGUCUAUGCCGAGAGAACAUGCUA
Salvia miltiorrhiza (redroot sage) is the source of this 761-nucleotide long non-coding RNA. RefSeq lists it as uncharacterized. Lineage: Eukaryota; Viridiplantae; Streptophyta; Magnoliopsida; Lamiales; Lamiaceae. The transcript is spliced from 3 exons. The record is from RefSeq and is a predicted model, not a curated record.